GUUCUCUUCAGAUUAAUUAAUCUAGCGUUCCAAUUAACUGUCUGUGAUGCGCGGAGAACUUUUCUCGCAUUAUUUCACUCGAUAAAUUCGUGACGAAACGACCAGAUAUUCUAUCUGGCUGCAUUGGAAAUUUUCAUUUUCGUUGCAGUUUAAAUAACUUUUUGAUUCUAUGCAGCAACUAGGCUGUUAUAAGUUAGUUAAUUGUGUCUUUUUCUUUCUUGUUUAAAAAGUUUGAAUAAGCGAGGGGACACGUUUCCCGGACGUAAUUCGCAUUUGCGUAAUUUUGAAUAAAGUUUCGAAAUUUCAAUCGUCAAUGCAUAACGUCAAGUUUUGUAGUAAGCUCGUUCACUUUUUCUUUUUUAAAUGGCAUCGAAGAUCGUUACUUUUAUAUGAAAUCUAUUUAGUAAACGACGAAUAUAUCUAUAUCGUGUCGCACAAAUAAUAUGCAUAUGUGGCAGUAAUUUUGAACAUUGCUAGCGAAAAAAUGCAUUACCUCGAAAGUCUUACGCGUUUUGUUUCGCAAUUGUCAACUGCAAAACUCCGAGUCUCUGCUAUCUACAACCGAACGUUGGAAAAUUUAAUUCGCAAUCAGUUUAUAAUCUUACGCCCUCGGUAAAGUUCAAUCGUUUUCCCUUGAGCCGUGUAAAUUUCUUAAGCAAACACAAGAGUUCGAAGGUAGCCUGAGCAAUACGUCCCGACGAAGUGGUGCGAUUCACGUCGACCGUUCCAAGUGACGUAAUUAAUAAGAAAAGGAAGGAAAUUGCCAUGAGUAAAAUACGUGAAACGCUGUACCAACGAUACAUAUAUAUUUGUAACGUUAUAACUCGCGACCAGUUAGUCGGAUCGUUACUCGCCAAGUUUCGAUAUUUCGAAACGUUUGAUAUAAAUUUAUAAACUUUGCUUAUUCUUUCCACCCUUUCUGCAAAACUUGACAAUUCUCGGAAUAAUAGCGAAAGUUAGCCGUUGCGCUUCGCUUUAAUUCUCUAAGAUAUCUUAUUUCUCAUGGUCUCUUUAAUUUUUGUUUUCUAUUAUCAUUUUAUACUUCUUAUUCGUUUAUGUGCGUCGAUUCAACGUUUCUUUAUAUUCAAUUAAAAAUCAUAUCCGCGAAUCAAAAUAUCACUGGUGUUAUUAUAUCGCGUUUGUUUAUUUUUACCUCUUAUUGUUUUAAAAAUUCAAUUUAAAGAUUCUCAUCGAUAUCCUGCUAUUCUUCGAUUUGCAUUUCAAUUUGCGAUCAUCGGUCACUUUAACUAACGUGCUGGUUUUAGCGUUCGGCAUUUUUAAAUAUGCCAUUAAACUUACGUCGGAAAUAUAACGUCUACUAUACAGAACGAGACACGAUUUAAAAAUCCAUUCUGUCAGGACGCGCCGAUUAAAAACAAUACGGAACCGAACAAAUCGAUCUCCGUUGGUUUUAGUUAACCGUUGAAACGACUCCCGGUGACACGGCAGAUUAGAUUUUAAUAGAAACAUCCGUGCCACGAUAGAACGUACGUUUACAUGGACGUAUUCCUUCUAUUUAAACGACCGCUUUUUUCUCCGUAAUCCCUUCUUCAUGCCCGAACAAUCGUUCGUUCAGAGAGCACCGGUUCAAUUCCAAGGAUUACCUGUUAAUUGAAGCGUGACCGAUUUCGCGCGAUUCAUCACGAUAAAAAUAGGAGCAGCAAGUAUAAAAAUGCAAUUGCAUGGAAAUCCGGUGGUACCUUGCGCAAAUUCUCAUAAUCACGAUUCAUCGUCACCGGAGUUGUUCUCUUAUUGCUCGCAUUCGUCUUGACCUACAGCUAUUACGCGUAAUGCUGUGCGGCUCAAUCAGCAGAGGGACGAUCAGGCUCGAUGGAAGGAACAUUACUUGCUCGUUACAGGCGUAUUUAAUCUCGUCUUUUCCAUUCGACCGUACAUCGAUCGUAUAUUAGCUCGUUUCUCUUUCCUUCGCGCCAAAUCAAUUCUAUAUUAAAGCGACCGAUGAAACGGAUACUUGAAUUUAUAUUACGAUAAGUGCCGUCGCUUCUUCAUUAUCGAAUUGAUAUCGAAUUUAUAUUUCAUUUCAACGUUCCGGUUAUUCUUUACUUUUACUUCGUGUUUGGGAAAAGAGCCCUUUUUAGAUAUCGCGAUCGUUAGUUCUUGCGAUAAAAAUAUUAAAUGACAUUGUUUCUAAUUUCGUAUAUUACGUGGCAAGUACCAGCGAUAAGUUUGUAAACGCGAUGAUCUUUAGAAAACGUCGAGUAUUUCGAUCAAUGGAAAGUCGACGGAUAUUGCAAAGUUUAGUUGUGUGAUUUAUUAAAAAAUUUUGGGAUUUGAUCUCGCGUGAAACGAAAGUACAAAAGCUGUGUUACGUUUUCGUGUUUUCAUGUAUAACGCGAGUAUUUUUGCAUGAAAUACGAGAAGAAGAAAAGGUACAAGUACUUGGAAUCUAAAUCUAAAAGCAGAAUGUAUCGAAGUCUGCUACUUAAGCGCCACGAACAUGGAAGAAAACGAUGAAACGAUGCUGCAAGUAGUACGAGCUUGUCGCGACUGAGACGAAACUAAUCGGAUUGUUGUUAUCUGUGGGUCUGUGAACGUAAAUGGCUUGGCGAAAAAAGAACGCGAUGAAACCAGGUGCACGUACAGAAAUGUGUCCGGGUUAGUGGAUUUUUGGAAAGGUGCCGCGAAAGUUUCCGAAUUAUAAGAUGGAAGAAACUGGAGAAAAGAAAUUUCCUUCGACGUCUCUACGUUGCUGAAGAGAAGGUAAGAAAUUGAGAAUUUUGUAGCGAUAUCGUUGACAUAUUGGACAUAAUUGAGGUUAUGUUUAAUAGAAAAGUAUAUGCUACUAACAAAGUUAUCGUAAUUUUGCGUUCAAUGAUACAUUAUCAAAGGAAUUAAAUUAAGUUUUAAUCGUUAUAAUUUAGUAG
Molecule: long non-coding RNA, 2885 nt
Organism: Bombus pascuorum
Lineage: Eukaryota; Metazoa; Arthropoda; Insecta; Hymenoptera; Apidae
Exons: 3
Source: RefSeq, a predicted model, not a curated record